RNAcentral lists this long non-coding RNA (841 nucleotides) under Buteo japonicus. RNAcentral describes it as "lncRNA (ENSBJAG00000008320.1)". Lineage: Eukaryota; Metazoa; Chordata; Aves; Accipitriformes; Accipitridae. The record is from RNAcentral.
CUACAGAUACUAUAUAUAAUAUAUUUAUAUAUCUAUAUAGCAUAUACACAUAAAACAGACACUUGAAAUAUACAUGUGUAUCUAAUGAGUACAUCCAAGCAGUAUAUACAUCAAAAUAACAAGGGAUGACAAAUACAAAAAAUGCAGCUUGUGUAAGUUGGAGGAAAUGUAAAAAACGUAUUUCAAACCAUUAGAUACACAUUAAAUUCUCAAGAAAGAAAAAAGUCAGGGAGCUAGUCAAGAGAUGGUGGACAUAUACUGAAGAAAUGUGGACCAAUUAUUUAUAUGAAAAAAGUUAGGGCAAUAGAUAACUUUGAUUGUCUACCAUUGAAAGAGACCUAUUAACUUCAUGUGGUUUUGGAUUAAGUUUAGAUGGUGGGGGGAAAAAAAUAAAGAGGAUCAAUCAAUUGGAAAUCUCUCAUGUCAGAAAAUGGUGUGAUCUCAGUGUCACUCCAAAAAGUAGUGUGCAACAACACACUGGCAUUGUAGACUUACUUCCACUUAAGUAUCUUUAGCAACCUGUUUACACUGAAACAUAGAUGCUACUGCUCAAAAUAGAGGAAUUAACAUUGUCAUAUUUUGAUACAAAAUAUAUUAUUUUCUAAUUCUUCAGGGUAAUGUAGGUCCCAUCGGUCCUCCUGGUCCUGCCGGCCCACCUGGAGAUAAGGGAGAGACUGGUCCAGCAGGUGCCCCAGGUCCAAUGGGUUCCCGUGGUGGUCCUGGUGAACGAGGAGAACAAGGUCUUCCUGGACCUGCUGGCUUCCCUGGAGCUCCAGUAAGUAUAAAUACUUAAAAGCAAUUGAAUGUGAUUAUCAGUUUUUAGAUUCUCUAAGUUCAUCCA